AGUAAAGUGGCGCACGGGUGAGUAACGCGUGGGUAAUCUACCUCCGAAUUGGGGAUAACGUUGCGAAAGCGACGCUAAUACCGGAUAAUAUCGAGAGGACUUUGGUUUUCUUGAUCAAAGGUGGCCUCUUCAUGAAAGCUACUGUUUGGAGAUGAGCCCGCGUCCCAUUAGCUUGUUGGUGGGGUAAAGGCCCACCAAGGCCGCGAUGGGUAGCUGGUCUGAGAGGAUGAUCAGCCACACUGGAACUGACACACGGUCCAGACUCCUACGGGAGGCAGCAGUGAGGAAUUUUGCGCAAUGGGGGAAACCCUGACGCAGCAACGCCGCGUGAGUGAUGAAGGCUUUCGGGUCGUAAAGCUCUGUCAAGUGGGAAGAACCACUUUGAGGAUAAUACCCUCGAGGUCUGACGGUACCACUGAAGGAAGCACCGGCUAACUCCGUGCCAGCAGCCGCGGUAAUACGGGGGGUGCAAGCGUUAUUCGGAUUUACUGGGCGUAAAG
Molecule: ribosomal RNA, 500 nt
Filed under: uncultured benzene mineralizing bacterium
Lineage: Bacteria; Deltaproteobacteria
Description: bacterial SSU rRNA
Rfam family: Bacterial small subunit ribosomal RNA
Source: RNAcentral